UUAAAUUAGUCAUAUGGUUUUGUAUCUAAUUUUGGUAUAAAAAAGAGGACCUGAAAUUUCAAUAUAGGUGUAUUAAUUUGUGAGCUGAAAGUUUAUAAAUGAAAGCUCAAAGGUAAUUAGAUUCAAAAUCACAAGUUAUUUUACUUUGAUUUUACUUGUGCUGAAAGUUUAUAGCUCAUAACUUAACAAUUGGUAAUAUUACUUGUGUAGAUUUUGUGAUUAUGCGGAGCAAAAUAAGAGUAACAUACACAUAAAUUAUGAAUUUUGAAAGCAAGAAAAGGAAGGCUGCAAGUCCUAACUCAUGGCAGC
This 309-nucleotide long non-coding RNA is filed under the name Manihot esculenta (cassava). RNAcentral's name for it is "long non-coding RNA (MESC_LNC005382)". Lineage: Eukaryota; Viridiplantae; Streptophyta; Magnoliopsida; Malpighiales; Euphorbiaceae. The record is from RNAcentral.